This 459-nucleotide ribosomal RNA is filed under the name uncultured bacterium. RNAcentral describes it as "partial 16S ribosomal RNA". It matches the Rfam family "Bacterial small subunit ribosomal RNA", at positions 338 to 795 of the family's 1533-position model. The record is from RNAcentral.
CCUACGGGAGGCAGCAGUGAGGAAUAUUGGUCAAUGGCCGGAAGGCUGAACCAGCCAAGCCGCGUGAAGGACGAAGGUGCCAAGCAUUGUAAACUUCUUUUGUCAAGGGACAAAAUCAGGCUCGAGGGCCUGACCGAGGGUACUUGAAGAAAAAGCAUCGGCUAACUCCGUGCCAGCAGCCGCGGUAAUACGGAGGAUGCGAGCGUUAUCCGGAUUUAUUGGGUUUAAAGGGUGCGUAGGCGGGCUGUUAAGUCAGCGGUAAAAGCCCGGGGCUCAACCCCGGCGAGCCGUUGAUACUGGCAGCCUUGAGUACAGUUGAGGUAGGCGGAAUGCGUGGUGUAGCGGUGAAAUGCUUAGAUAUCACGAAGAACUCCGAUUGCGAAGGCAGCCUACUAAACUGCCACUGACAUGGAUGCUCGAAAGUGUGGGUAUCAAACAGGAUUAGAUACCCUGUUAGUC